This 254-nucleotide ribosomal RNA is filed under the name uncultured bacterium. Its description in RNAcentral is "partial 16S ribosomal RNA". It matches the Rfam family "Bacterial small subunit ribosomal RNA", at positions 524 to 776 of the family's 1533-position model. The record is from RNAcentral.
UACGGAGGGAGCUAGCGUUGUUCGGAAUUACUGGGCGUAAAGCGCACGUAGGCGGCUACUCAAGUCGGGGGUGAAAGCCCGGGGCUCAACCCCGGAACUGCCCUCGAAACUAGGUGGCUAGAAUCUUGGAGAGGUCAGUGGAAUUCCGAGUGUAGAGGUGAAAUUCGUAGAUAUUCGGAAGAACACCAGUGGCGAAGGCGACUGACGUGGACAAGUAUUGACGCUGAGGUGCGAAAGCGUGGGGAGCAAACAGG